RNAcentral lists this ribosomal RNA (253 nucleotides) under uncultured bacterium. RNAcentral's name for it is "partial 16S ribosomal RNA". It matches the Rfam family "Bacterial small subunit ribosomal RNA", at positions 524 to 776 of the family's 1533-position model. The record is from RNAcentral.
UACGUAUGGUGCAAGCGUUAUCCGGAUUUACUGGGCGUAAAGGGAGCGCAGGCGGCGCGCCAAGUCUGAUGUGAAACCCCGGGGCUCAACCCCGGGCAUGCAUUGGAAACUGGCGGGCUGGAGUGCCGGAGAGGUAAGCGGAAUUCCUAGUGUAGCGGUGAAAUGCGUAGAUAUUAGGAAGAACACCAGUGGCGAAGGCGGCUUUCUGGACUGAAACUGACGCUGAGGCACGAAAGCGUGGGGAGCGAACAGG